This 154-nucleotide ribosomal RNA is filed under the name Tremella exigua. RNAcentral describes it as "5.8S ribosomal RNA". It matches the Rfam family "5.8S ribosomal RNA". From Rfam's summary of the family: 5.8S ribosomal RNA (5.8S rRNA) is a component of the large subunit of the eukaryotic ribosome. It is transcribed by RNA polymerase I as part of the 45S precursor that also contains 18S and 28S rRNA. The record is from RNAcentral. Lineage: Eukaryota; Fungi; Basidiomycota; Tremellomycetes; Tremellales; Tremellaceae.
AAACUUUCAACAACGGAUCUCUUGGCUCUCGCAUCGAUGAAGAACGCAGCGAAAUGCGAUAAGUAAUGUGAAUUGCAGAAUUCAGUGAAUCAUCGAAUCUUUGAACGCACCUUGCACCUUUUGGUAUUCCGAAAGGUAUGCCUGUUUGAGUGUC